RNAcentral lists this ribosomal RNA (403 nucleotides) under uncultured bacterium. Its description in RNAcentral is "bacterial SSU rRNA". It matches the Rfam family "Bacterial small subunit ribosomal RNA", at positions 359 to 776 of the family's 1533-position model. The record is from RNAcentral.
GAAUAUUGCACAAUGGGGGAAACCCUGAUGCAGCAACGCCGCGUGAAGGAUGAAGGUUUUCGGAUCGUAAACUUCUAUCAGUAGGGACGAAAGAAAUGACGGUACCUAACUAAGAAGCCACGGCUAACUACGUGCCAGCAGCCGCGGUAAUACGUAGGGGGCAAGCGUUAUCCGGAAUCACUGGGUGUAAAGGGUGCGUAGGCGGCAAUGUAAGUCAGAUGUGAAAUCCCGGGGCUCAACCCCGGGCGUGCAUUUGAAACUGUAUAGCUAGAGUGCAGGAGAGGAAAGUGGAAUUCCUAGUGUAGCGGUGAAAUGCGUAGAUAUUAGGAGGAACACCAGUGGCGAAGGCGACUUUCUGGACUGUAACUGACGCUGAUGCACGAAAGCGUGGGUAGCGAACAGG